This is a long non-coding RNA of Chinchilla lanigera (long-tailed chinchilla), 482 nucleotides long. RefSeq lists it as uncharacterized. The transcript is spliced from 4 exons. NCBI's taxonomy places the organism in Eukaryota, Metazoa, Chordata, Mammalia, Rodentia, Chinchillidae. The record is from RefSeq and is a predicted model, not a curated record.
GACAGGAGGUGGUGUCGGCAGGGACAGUGCCUGGGGCAGAGAGAUAUUUUCCUUCUGCUGCUGCCUUGGAGGAGCUGGAACAUCAUAGAGGUACCAGUGGAGAAUCCAACGAUGGAAGGGUUGAACUUCUUCAGAAUGUCUUUGGAGGGGGACAAGGGAGAGAGUACAGACACAUCCUGGAACUUGAACAAGAUCAUCUGUCCCAGGAGGAGAACCACAUGCUGCAUCCUAAACCAGGGCUUCCUAGUCCCCUGGGAUCUUGUAAAAGUGCAGAGUAUGAUUCCAUAGGACCAGGAUAAUGCCCGGAUGCUGCGUUUCUGACAAGUUCCCAGCAGAGGAAGCAAGGCUACAUGAGAACAAAGAUCCAGGAAGUCAGGCCUAGACUCACUCUGCUCGCCACUGUCUACCAGUAAUUAGGACAGCACUUGCUCUGUGUAUGCACCCAGUAAGUAAAUGUGAAAUAAAUAAAUGCUGAUUGACAA